Molecule: ribosomal RNA, 377 nt
Filed under: Scytodes sp. 45 YFL-2022a
Lineage: Eukaryota; Metazoa; Arthropoda; Arachnida; Araneae; Scytodidae
Description: partial large subunit ribosomal RNA
Rfam family: Bacterial large subunit ribosomal RNA
Source: RNAcentral
GUACUAAGGUAGCGUAAUCACUUGCCUCCUAAUUAGGGGAUAGUAUGAAAGAAAUAACGAGCUUAAUUUUCUCCUUAAUACACACAAUUAAACUAAUAAUAAAGUAAAAAUACUUUAUAUAAAAAGAAAGACGACAAGACCCUAUCGAACUUACACAAUUGUGUUAUGCUGGGGCAGCAUAAAAAAUAAACCUUAAUAAAACAAACCAUAAAACUAUUAAAAAUAAACUAAAAACAAGUUACCGUAGGGAUAACAGCACAAUUAUUUACAGGAGCACUUAUCCAAUAAAUAGAUUAUGACCUCGAUGUUGAAUUAUCUUCCUUCAAUAAGAAAAGCUAUUAUAAGCAGGUCUGUUCGACCACAAAAAGAUACAUGAU